RNAcentral lists this long non-coding RNA (462 nucleotides) under Sander lucioperca (pikeperch). RNAcentral's name for it is "lncRNA (ENSSLUG00000014222.1)". The record is from RNAcentral. Lineage: Eukaryota; Metazoa; Chordata; Actinopteri; Perciformes; Percidae.
CUCCAUACGUCACGGGGAAUUUCCAGUGGGGAAGGAAAUCAACUUCAUGAACUGAGACCAAACUUCACCUGUAGGACUUUAGCGUCUCGUUCUGGGAAUUAAAUAUCAAUUUAUUCACUCGGAUUGAAAUUAUUUUCAACUGUAAUGACGCCGUAGUGUCGCGUCAUGACGCUCUCCAAUUAAACCUGGCUGUUGUAAAUGGAUCCACUGGUUUAGCACGAGCAUGGCGAAAUGAAGUGCAAAAGUCAACUGAAGUGAAGUGGACCGAGCAGUGUCACUCAUCCGACUGUUAACCUGACCAGCUAACCAGACACCAUGGCUGGAGACGACCACUACCUCCAUACCUCCAACCAGAUUUUCGACAUGAUCGAUCCGUCGUGGGAGUUCACACCGUUCCCCCGCGAUGUCUCAGACCACGUCCCUGCGGACAGGUGAGAGUCGACCGUCACACACCUGCUGCUG